AUUAGCCCUUAAGCUUUACAUGUGUUAGACGAACGGUCUGGAAAGUCCGACGAUACAGGGUGAUAGUCCCGUAGUUGACGAUGCAUGUUCAGUGAAAUCGAGUAGGGCGGGACACGUGUUAUCCUGUCUGAAUAUGGGGGGACCAUCCUCCAAGGCUAAAUACUCCUGACUGACCGAUAGUGAACCAGUACCGUGAGGGAAAGGCGAAAAGAACCCCUGUGAGGGGAGUGAAAUAGAACCUGAAACCGUGUACGUACAAGCAGUAGGAGCACCUUCGUGGUGUGACUGCGUACCUUUUGUAUAAUGGGUCAGCGACUUAUAUUCAGUGGCAAGGUUAACCAUCUAGGGGAGCCGUAGGGAAACCGAGUCUUAACUGGGCGCCAUAGUCUCUGGAUAUAGACCCGAAACCGAGUGAUCUAGCCAUGGGCAGGUUGAAGGUUGAGUAACAUCAACUGGAGGACCGAACCGACUAAUGUUGAAAAAUUAGCGGAUGACUUGUGGCUAGGGGUGAAAGGCCAAUCAAACUCGGAGAUAGCUGGUUCUCCCCGAAAGCUAUUUAGGUAGCGCCUCGGACGAAUACUACUGGGGGUAGAGCACUGUUAAGGCUAGGGGGUCAUCCCGACUUACCAACCCUUUGCAAACUCCGAAUACCAGUAAGUACUAUCCGGGAGACACACGGCGGGUGCUAACGUCCGUCGUGGAGAGGGAAACAACCCAGACCGCCAGCUAAGGUCCCAAAUUACAGCUAAGUGGGAAACGAUGUGGGAAGGCUUAGACAGCUAGGAUGUUGGCUUAGAAGCAGCCAUCAUUUAAAGAAAGCGUAAUAGCUCACUAGUCGAGUCGGCCUGCGCGGAAGAUGUAACGGGGCUAAGUUGUAAA
This 879-nucleotide ribosomal RNA is filed under the name Vibrio vulnificus. RNAcentral's name for it is "partial 23S ribosomal RNA". It matches the Rfam family "Bacterial large subunit ribosomal RNA", at positions 303 to 1193 of the family's 2925-position model. The record is from RNAcentral. Lineage: Bacteria; Pseudomonadati; Pseudomonadota; Gammaproteobacteria; Vibrionales; Vibrionaceae.